RNAcentral lists this ribosomal RNA (934 nucleotides) under uncultured bacterium. RNAcentral describes it as "bacterial SSU rRNA". It matches the Rfam family "Bacterial small subunit ribosomal RNA", at positions 1 to 956 of the family's 1533-position model. The record is from RNAcentral.
UAGAGUUUGAUCCUGGCUCAGGACGAACGCUGGCGGCGUGCUUAACACAUGCAAGUCGAGCGGUAAGGCCCUUCGGGGUACACGCCCGGCGAACGGGUGAGUAACACGUGGGUGAUCUGCCCUGCACUUCGGGAUAAGCCUGGGAAACUGGGUCUAAUACCGGAUAUGACCUUCGGCUGCAUGGCCGUUGGUGGAAAGGUUUACUGGUGCAGGAUGGGCCCGCGGCCUAUCAGCUUGUUGGUGGGGUAAUGGCCUACCAAGGCGACGACGGGUAGCCGACCUGAGAGGGUGACCGGCCACACUGGGACUGAGACACGGCCCAGACUCCUACGGGAGGCAGCAGUGGGGAAUAUUGCACAAUGGGCGAAAGCCUGAUGCAGCGACGCCGCGUGAGGGAUGACGGCCUUCGGGUUGUAAACCUCUUUCAGCAGGGACGAAGCGAAAGUGACGGUACCUGCAGAAGAAGCACCGGCCAACUACGUGCCAGCAGCCGCGGUAAUACGUAGGGUGCAAGCGUUGUCCGGAAUUACUGGGCGUAAAGAGCUCGUAGGCGGUUUGUCGCGUCGUCUGUGAAAACUCGAGGCUCAACCUCGAGCUUGCAGGCGAUACGGGCAGACUUGAGUACUGCAGGGGAGACUGGAAUUCCUGGUGUAGCGGUGAAAUGCGCAGAUAUCAGGAGGAACACCGGUGGCGAAGGCGGGUCUCUGGGCAGUAACUGACGCUGAGGAGCGAAAGCGUGGGUAGCGAACAGGAUUAGAUACCCUGGUAGUCCACGCCGUAACGGUGGGCGCUAGGUGUGGGUUUCCUUCCACGGGAUCCGUGCCGUAGCUAACGCAUUAAGCGCCCCGCCUGGGGAGUACGGCCGCAAGGCUAAAACUCAAAGGGAUUUGACGGGGGCCCGCACAAGCGGCGGAGCAUGUGGAUUAAUUCGAUG